RNAcentral lists this ribosomal RNA (724 nucleotides) under uncultured organism. RNAcentral's name for it is "bacterial SSU rRNA". It matches the Rfam family "Bacterial small subunit ribosomal RNA", at positions 55 to 823 of the family's 1533-position model. The record is from RNAcentral.
AUGCAAGUCGAAUGCCGAUUUAUCGGCAUGGCAGACGGCUGAGUAAUACAUGGGAAUCUACCUCAAACUCGAGAAUAGCCCAUCGAAAGGUGGUGUAAUACUCGAUAGUUCCGUUUACGGUAAAGCUCCGGCGGUUUGAGAUGAGCCCAUGUCCUAUCAGGUUGUUGGUGGGGUAAUUGCCUACCAAGCCUAUGACGGGUAGCUGGUUUGAGAGGAUGAUCAGCCAGACUGGGACUGCGAUACGGCCCAGACUCCUACGGGAGGCAGCAACUAGGAAUCAUGCGCAAUGGACGAAAGUCUGACGCUGCGACGUCGCGUGAGGGAUGAAGGUCUUCGGAUCGUAAACCUCUUUUAUCUGGGAACAAGUUCUGAGUGUACCAGAUGAAUAAGUGCCUGCCAACCACGUGCCAGAAGCAUCGGUAAUGCGUGGGGCACGAGCGUUAUCCGGAUUUACUGGGCGUAAAGAGAUGCGUAGGCGCCUUUUUAAGUCACUUGUAAAAUCUCCCCGCUCAACGGGGAAACUGCAAGUGAUACUGAAUUGGUUGAGUCAAGUAGAGGAGAGGGGAAUUCCUGGUGGAGCGGUUAAAUGCGUUGAUAUCAGGAGGAAUACCAAGUGCGAAGGCACCUCUCUGGACUUGUACUGACGCUAAGGCUCGAAAGUGUGGGGAGCAAAACGGAUUAGAUACCCGUGUAGUCCACACUGUAAACGAUCCCUGCUAGAUGU